RNAcentral lists this ribosomal RNA (497 nucleotides) under Trikentrion flabelliforme. RNAcentral's name for it is "partial 28S large subunit ribosomal RNA". Lineage: Eukaryota; Metazoa; Porifera; Demospongiae; Axinellida; Raspailiidae. The record is from RNAcentral.
AAAANCUGGAGAGAGAGUCAAAGAGACCGUGAAACCGUUGGGAGGGAAGCGAACGGGUCCAUGACGACUCCAUUCAGGUUCAGGGUGCGCCGGGAGUGGCCUUGCCGCGUUUGGGAGCUCUGUCGAGAGCCGACGUGCGGUCGGAGUCGCCUCGGCGCACCUGCAGUCUCGUUUGGAGUCCGCCAACGGCGGUCGACGGUGUCCCAACAGGUCCGGUGGGGAGGUGAUUCCGCUUUCUCCGGGAGGCGGAAUGCGUAUAGCCCGUCCGGUUCGGAGGGCACCGGCGUCCGAGGUGUGUUGCCGAACGUGGCACGUUGCGGUGCAGGCUCGACCGUUUAGUGGGCCGGCUCGCUCGUGGGUUCGCGUGCUUCGCGGCGGAGCGCUGGCGUCAGUGCCCGUCGACGACAACGUCGCGCUUGCUCUGCGAGGUCGAGCACGAUGUGUGCCGCAGUCGUUGGUGGUCGUAUGGCUCCGUCCGACCCGUCUUGAAACACGGA